AACGAACGCUGGCGGCAGGCUUAACACAUGCAAGUCGAGCGCCCCGCAAGGGGAGCGGCAGACGGGUGAGUAACGCGUGGGAACGUACCUUUUGGUUCGGAACAACUCCGGGAAACUGGAGCUAAUACCGGAUAAGCCCUAACGGGGAAAGAUUUAUCGCCGAAAGAUCGGCCCGCGUCUGAUUAGCUAGUUGGUGAGGUAACGGCUCACCAAGGCGACUAUCAGUAGCUGGUCUGAGAGGAUGAUCAGCCACACUGGGACUGAGACACGGCCCAGACUCCUACGGGAGGCAGCAGUGGGGAAUAUUGGACAAUGGGCGCAAGCCUGAUCCAGCCAUGCCGCGUGAGUGAUGAAGGCCUUAGGGUUGUAAAGCUCUUUUGUCCGGGAAGAUAAUGACUGUACCGGAAGAAUAAGCCCCGGCUAACUUCGUG
This 431-nucleotide ribosomal RNA is filed under the name uncultured bacterium. Its description in RNAcentral is "partial 16S ribosomal RNA". It matches the Rfam family "Bacterial small subunit ribosomal RNA", at positions 29 to 507 of the family's 1533-position model. The record is from RNAcentral.